CACGAGUUGACAACAAAAUGUGCACGUGAGCCGCAGGUGUCGUGUUUCCAUAUGGACCCGUCCAACAGUUUUUGUGACUUUUUUUGGAGCGUGUGUGUGACUUUAAAAGGCGGCGCCUGCUUCCGCCCACCUGGGUUUUCCUCCCACUGCCAACGGGCACCGUUGACACGCGGAGGCAAAAGAAAACGUCAAACGGAAACAAACAGCAGCCAUUUUCAUGUCAAAUGUUUCAUUUCAGUGAAUAAUUUUAGUGGUUCGAGCCCUCAAGGCACACAUACAUUUCAAGGUGGCAAGAAGCUUGUACUUCUGUUGGUUUUUUUUUUGCAACAUAUCCCAUUUCCUAAACUCCCGCGACCUUCGUGAGGAUAAGCGGCUGAAGAAAAUGGAUGGACGGAUGGGUGCGUUGUACUUGCAAGUGGGACACUUGACAACAAUGGCGACGUUUUGGGACUCGCGACGUUCUGUUUCCGAGGUAGCUGGCGGCUCAUUUCCCGUUGAGGCCGCCCGGCAGGCCGCAGGCUUUGCGGGCGUCGUGCGGGUGCUCCAGGACGGCUCGCGCGA
Long non-coding RNA from Syngnathoides biaculeatus (alligator pipefish), 561 nucleotides. RefSeq lists it as uncharacterized. The record is from RefSeq and is a predicted model, not a curated record. NCBI's taxonomy places the organism in Eukaryota, Metazoa, Chordata, Actinopteri, Syngnathiformes, Syngnathidae. The transcript is spliced from 2 exons.